UACAGAGGUGGCAAGCGUUGUUCGGAAUUACUGGGCGUAAAGGGCGCGUAGGCGGCCUUCUAAGUCAGACGUGAAAUCCCCCGGCUUAACCUGGGAACUGCGUCUGAUACUGGAGGGCUUGAGUGCGGGAGAGGGAUGUGGAAUUCCAGGUGUAGCGGUGAAAUGCGUAGAUAUCUGGAGGAACACCGGUGGCGAAGGCGGCAUCCUGGACCGACACUGACACUGAGGAGCGAAAGCAUGGGGAGCGAACAGG
RNAcentral lists this ribosomal RNA (253 nucleotides) under uncultured bacterium. RNAcentral describes it as "partial 16S ribosomal RNA". It matches the Rfam family "Bacterial small subunit ribosomal RNA", at positions 524 to 776 of the family's 1533-position model. The record is from RNAcentral.